RNAcentral lists this long non-coding RNA (239 nucleotides) under Manihot esculenta (cassava). RNAcentral describes it as "long non-coding RNA (MESC_LNC006265)". Lineage: Eukaryota; Viridiplantae; Streptophyta; Magnoliopsida; Malpighiales; Euphorbiaceae. The record is from RNAcentral.
GGUAAUAUCAGAUUUUCAAGAGGUUUAGACUGACCCAUCUUUAUCUCAGGUACUGCAAAAAGUCCCAAACAGAGACAAGUCAGGAUAAUCUCUUGUCAAGAUAAUGAAAGCAAGAUUAAAGCAAACCUCUGGGGCAACAAAGCAAUGAAGCCCCCGGCUCACCUCGAUCCGUUUGAAGAAGGCGUCAAAUAGAUCCUUUGCCGAAAAAACAGGAGAAUCUCGCUGGAGGAAGAAAACAG